Molecule: transfer RNA, 76 nt
Filed under: Sedimentisphaera salicampi
Lineage: Bacteria; Pseudomonadati; Planctomycetota; Phycisphaerae; Sedimentisphaerales; Sedimentisphaeraceae
Description: tRNA-Arg
Rfam family: tRNA
About the family: Transfer RNA (tRNA) molecules are approximately 80 nucleotides in length. Their secondary structure includes four short double-helical elements and three loops (D, anti-codon, and T loops). Further hydrogen bonds mediate the characteristic L-shaped molecular structure. tRNAs have two regions of fundamental functional importance: the anti-codon, which is responsible for specific mRNA codon recognition, and the 3' end, to which the tRNAs corresponding amino acid is attached (by aminoacyl-tRNA synthetases). tRNAs cope with the degeneracy of the genetic code in two manners: having more than one tRNA (with a specific anti-codon) for a particular amino acid; and 'wobble' base-pairing, i.e. permitting non-standard base-pairing at the 3rd anti-codon position.
Source: RNAcentral
UGUCCCCGUGGCUCAAUUGGAUAGAGCGUUGGCCUCCGGAGCCAAAGGUUGCAGGUUCGAAUCCUGCCGGGGACGG